CAGAAUUUUCCUGAUUCACGCAUCAUGGAUAGGGACAGAGACAAGAUGGCAGAGAGGAUAUUAAAUCUCACCCUAGAGAUACUCUUCCAACUUACUGGAGAGGAUUACACAGUGGUGAAGAAGACCUCUAACGAGCACUGUCAGGGUCAUGUAUCUGAAGGAUGGGGAAGAACCCUGAGCCCAAUCACAGGGCCUCCACCUCACUCCUUGAAACAUGAGGAGAUCAAUGAACAGAAGAUCCUAGAACUCACCCACAAGAUGAUUGAGCUGCUGACUGGAGAGGUUCCUAUAAGGUGUCAGGAUGUCACUGUCUAUUUCUCCAUGGAGGAGUGGGAGUAUG
Molecule: long non-coding RNA, 340 nt
Organism: Bufo gargarizans (Asiatic toad)
Lineage: Eukaryota; Metazoa; Chordata; Amphibia; Anura; Bufonidae
Exons: 3
Source: RefSeq, a predicted model, not a curated record